RNAcentral lists this ribosomal RNA (253 nucleotides) under uncultured bacterium. RNAcentral describes it as "partial 16S ribosomal RNA". It matches the Rfam family "Bacterial small subunit ribosomal RNA", at positions 524 to 776 of the family's 1533-position model. The record is from RNAcentral.
GACAGAGGGUGCAAACGUUGUUCGGAUUUACUGGGCGUAAAGCGCGUGUAGGCGGCUUGGCAAGUCGGAUGUGAAAGCCCACGGCUCAACCGUGGAAGCGCAUCCGAAACGGCCUCGCUCGAGUCUCGGAGAGGAAGGUGGAAUGCUUGGUGUAGAGGUGAAAUUCGUUGAUAGCAUAACGACUGGUAACGGCGAAAGCAACCUUUUAUCUAAUAACUGACGUUGAGGGACGAAGGCUCGGGUAACGAACAGG